Molecule: ribosomal RNA, 263 nt
Filed under: uncultured archaeon
Lineage: Archaea
Description: partial 16S ribosomal RNA
Rfam family: Archaeal small subunit ribosomal RNA
Source: RNAcentral
ACACGACUACAUUAGAUACCCGGGUAGUCCUAGCCGUAAACGAUACUCGCUAGGUGUCGGCCACGGUGCGACCGUUGUCGGUGCCGUAGGGAAGCCGUGAAGCGAGCCACCUGGGAAGUACGGCCGCAAGGCUGAAACUUAAAGGAAUUGGCGGGGAGCACAACAACGGGUGGAGCUUGCGGUUUAAUUGGAUUCAACGCCGGAAUCUUACCGGGACCGACAGCAACAUGAAGGCCAAGCUGAAGGCUUUGCCGGAUUAGCUG